GCGAACGAGAAAGAGUGUGAGAGAAAGAUCGAUGUCAGUGGGCAAAAGAAAGAGCGGGAAAACCCAUGGUUUAUAAUAUAAUUUACCAACAGAGGUCGCUACAUUGUAUGAUUAUGACGUCACAGUAAUAUUGUAGAACCGCCCACAGUGUAUACAAGCUUGAUGUGGAUUGGUGGAUGGAAAUGAUGGCAGGCGUGUGUGCCAAUCGAUUGUCGACAAUAGGCAUGAGCUAGCCUGAAAAACGAACGGUUGAGGAUGGUUGCUUACUAGUGACUACAGACUACAUCGUAGUGGGGGAGAGAGAGUUGAAAUAGAGGGAAAACGAAAGAAGAAAAAAAAAAAAAAAAACAAGUUAAAUACAGUGCGCAUGGUGAUGAUGAUGAUGAUGAUCGCGGCGAUAGUGGGGGAAUUAACUCGGUUGGAGUAUUAGCAUAGUGGGAGAGAAAGGGAGACAGAUAUAUAUGCUCCCUGUGAAGUUUUCGUAGAAAUGGAGGGGAGAUAUGAAACAGCACAACCGACCGCCUCGGCAGGAAGUGAGCCCCGAGAGACCGUAGCGAGUGUUAAACCCCAAAACGAAACCUACAAAUCCACAGACGGUUCCGUUCUUUCGUCGAGAGUGGAUCUCGCUUUGCGCUUGUUUUUACAAGAAUAAAAAAAAAAAAAAAAAAAGAUAUUAUUUUAAAAAAAAAUAUAUAUCUAUUUAUUGUGUUUUAUAUUAUUAUUAAAGUCAAUAUAAAUAAUUAUAAACGUGUGCGUGUAUUUAAUUUAAUAAUACCAAAUAAAUAUAUAUUAUUUAAUUGGAUUUAAAUUAAAUAUUAAAAAGUGAUUUUUAAUUUUAAAUUAAAAAUAACAAAAUUAACAAAUAACCAAUUUGGAAAUUAGUGAAAAAAAAAUAAAUAUAUAUUGGACACAUACACACCACACACACAGUGACAUUGAUUAAGUAAAAAGAAAAAAAAAAAAAAAGAUAAACUUUUGUAUAAUCGAGAGAAAAAAUAUUAUUUACAUUUAUUUUAUUUUUUUUCUGUUAUUUUUGUCCGAAAAGUGAUUAAAAGUGUUUGUUUAUGAAAAACGUUGUUCUUCAUUAUUAUUAAUUUAUUUAUUUACAAAAUAUUAUUUGAUAAACUUGUUUUCAUUAACUACUGCCGAUAAAAAAAAAAAAACGGAUAAAUAUAUUAUUGGCCCUUAAUUUAAUAAUAUAAAAAUUAUAAAGGGUAAUAAGUGUGAUGUUCAUAAAGAUUAUGACGAUAAAUAAUUGUGUUAUGACAAGUGAAAAUUCGUGAGUUAAGCGAGACUAAUAUCGUAUCAAUUGGGUGUACCGUUUGAUAAAUAAAUAAUUAAAUAAUAAAAACAACAAAAAAAAAAUAAUUAGCAGCUUGUAUAGCAGCUUUGUUUUUAAUAAAAAAAAAAGGAUAUAAUAACAGACGUCAAACUGUACGGGCACAGGGAAGAAGACAUGCUAACGAUGGACGCGGAUUUAAAAGGUGGCAACCUGCACGGUCAAAUGCCGCCACAUCCACAUCAGGGUGUAUCACCAAUGGGUCAUCAUACUGGUGUAUCACCAUAUGGUUCACUUGGUUCAAUAGUACACAGUCCAGCAUUAUCAAGUGGUAGUCCACCAAGUAGUAGUAUAACAGCAUUAUCACUACAACAACAUCAUCAUCAACAACAACAACAACAACAACAACAGCAACAACAACAACAUCAACAACAUUAUGCAUCAAUGCAACAACAACAACAAACAAUGCAUUCAUUGCAACAACAAGCUGCUGGACAUCAUCCACAUCAACAAUCACAUCAACAACCAGGCAGUCAACCAUCAAGCCAACAAUCACAACAUCAAUCACCAAAUAAUAAUAAUAAUAAUACAACAAGUAAAAAUAAUAAUAUUGAUCGUGUUAAAAGACCAAUGAAUGCAUUUAUGGUAUGGUCAAGAGGACAACGUCGUAAAAUGGCACAAGAAAAUCCAAAAAUGCAUAAUUCUGAAAUAUCAAAAAGACUUGGUGCUGAAUGGAAACUUCUUAAUGAAACAGAUAAACGUCCAUUUAUUGAUGAAGCUAAAAGAUUACGUGCUGUACAUAUGAAAGAACAUCCAGAUUAUAAAUAUAGACCAAGAAGAAAAACCAAGACAUUAUUAAAAAAAGAUAAAUUUCCACUUGGUAAUGGUGUACCUGGUGGUAUGCUUGGUGUUGAUCAAAGACAAGUUGGUGGACCAGGUGGACCACAACAAUCACAAUUAUCACGUGAUGUUUAUCAAAUGCCAACUGGUUAUAUGCCAAAUGGUGCAUAUAUGAAUAUGAUGCAUGAUCCGGCGGCAUAUCAAUCACAUGCAUAUAAUGGUCAUAUGGGUGCUGCAGCAGCAGCAGCAGUUGCUGGUUAUCCACGUUAUGAUAUUGCUCAUCAUAUGUCGGGUAAUAGUCCAAGUCCAUUAAAUAAUUAUUUAAAUAGUUAUAAUGGUUAUGGUACAACAUCAGUGCCUGGUGGUUCACCAUCACCAUAUCAUCAACCACAACCUGGUUCACAAAUGUCAAGUCACAGUCCAAGUGGAAGUAGUAUUAAAUCAGAACCAACGAGUCCGGCAUCUGGUGGUAUUCAUACACCAACACCAAUUGGUACAAAUACAACAAAUUCAUCAUCUAUGAUUAAAAGAGAAUACAUGGGACAACAACAAGCAUCUGGAGGACAACAACAACAACAAGAUAUUGGAUCAAUGAUAUCAAUGUAUUUACCACAAGCUCAACAAGCUGGAGUACAACAUGCGUCGGGAGUUUAUUCACCUGGACCAUCACCUGAUCCAUUGGUUCAACAUUCUGUUAUGCCAGCACUCACCCACAUGUCAGACAGUGAUCGCAAAAUGUUAAAUCCUGAAACCGGUUGUUAUUCAGAAUCCGUUCGAGCAUGGGAUUGGAGCGCGACGGGCAACGUUCGCGUACAAGAAUCCUGGCCCACGUGAGCGCAUUUCGCAAAGGCCAAUACAAUGCCGCAACAAGACCGGUGGAUCGGGACCCCUGACUGUUGCGCGCAUCACGGUAUCAAUAUACAGAAAAAUACACGCGCCAGUAUUCAACUCAAUCACCAUCACCCUGAUCCACAUUUAAAUAUAACCAGGAUUCAGAAAAUGAAAAAUUACUGCCUGCACAAAUACAAUAUGAAAUGGACUCAUCAAAUUCAUCAUCGAGUACCAAUUCAUCUCAAAAAAUCACAUUGGACUUGUAAAAAAAAAAAAUUCAUAAAAAAAUAUAAAAUUAUUAAAAAACAUAAUUAUUGCACAAAAUUUUUUAAUAAAUACAAGUAAAAAAUCACCAAUUUGUGCAUAUAUGAAUUAAAUUAUUAUAUAUAAAGAGUGAUAUAUAAAAACUAUAAAUAAAAAAACAUAAAAUUAUAAAUAUAGAUAAAUAAUUAUAUAUAUAAAUAAAAAAAUUAAACAAGAAAAGUAAUAUUUACUUUUAAAAAAAAGCAAAAAAAAUUGACGUAAUAAAAUGAAUUAUUGUUGACAAUUGCAUUUGACAAUUAUUUAAUCAUUAUUUUUAUUAUAAUGAUUAAUUAAUUAUUACGAUAAUUAAAAAAAAAAAAAAACCCAACAAAAAAAAAUAAGUAAAAAAACCAAUUGUAAUAUAAUGAAAAAAAAAAUGGGUAAAAUUUUGUUGAAAAAAAAAAAAUAUCCAAUUGUUAAAAAUCUUAUAGUAGUAUUUUGAAUUUUAGUGUGAAUGAAAUUUGUGAUGUGUAGGUUUGGAAAAGCCACGUUGUACGACUUCCGGAAUAUUUAUACAAUAUUUAUUUAUUUUUUUUUUUUCUGGUAAAAACAACAGCGGAUGCACCUGACUCGUGUCCAAGAAAAGGCUUAGCUUGUUUGAUGAGAAAAGAUGAGAAUAAAUAUAUAAUUGUUUUUUUAUUUUUUUUUUAUUUCUAUGUUAUAUUUUAUUUUUUUGUUCAUUCAAAAAGUCGACAACACAGGGCUCGUUAAUUAUUCUGUGGGCCAAGGCGUAC
This is an RNA transcript of Aphidius gifuensis, 3987 nucleotides long. It is a transcript of the gene named transcription factor Sox-2-like, with no coding region annotated. Lineage: Eukaryota; Metazoa; Arthropoda; Insecta; Hymenoptera; Braconidae. The record is from RefSeq and is a predicted model, not a curated record. The transcript is spliced from 4 exons.